This 484-nucleotide ribosomal RNA is filed under the name uncultured flagellate. RNAcentral's name for it is "bacterial SSU rRNA". It matches the Rfam family "Eukaryotic small subunit ribosomal RNA", at positions 864 to 1351 of the family's 1831-position model. The record is from RNAcentral.
AAUGAUUGAUAGGGACAGUUGGGGGUGCUAGUAUUCUGCGGCGAGAGGUGAAAUUCUCGGAUUCGCUGAUGACCAACGUAUGCGAAAGCGUUCACCACGGAUGUCUAUUUUAUUCAAGAACGAAAGUUGGGGGAUCGAUGACGAUCAGCAACCGUCGUAGUCGCAACCAUAUACUAUACCGACUAGGGAUGAGUGAACGUUGCACUUUCGCCUUUGUUCGCUCCUUAUGAGAAAUCUAAGUCUCAGGUAUCGGGGGGAGUAUGGUCGCAAGGCUGAAACUUAAAGGAACUUACGGAAGGGCUCCACCAGGAGGUAUGCCUGCGGCUUAAUUUGACUCAACACGGGAAAACUUUCCAGGGCCAGACACAGUAAGGAUUGACAGAUUGAAGAUCUUUCUUGAUACUGUGGGUGGUAAGGCAUGGCCGUUCUUAGUUGGUGGAGUGAUUUGACUCGUUAACCCCCUUAACCCGAGUGCCCCAACCUG